AAUCAAAAUUUUGGUCAACCAACUCUUUAUCCAUAUUAUGGUGCUUAUGGACCAAUGGGACAAUAUGCACAUAUGAGGGAUAUUGGUCAAAAUGGGCAAUUUGGACUUAAGAACUUGGAUUAUAGCGACUAUGCAAAUAAAUAUAUUGAUCAACUCGGUUUGCGGUCAUAUUCUGAAUACCUCGAUGAAUAUUUCACCCCAUAUGAAAAUAUCGGAGAAGAUUAC
This is a non-coding RNA of Onthophagus taurus, 225 nucleotides long. The record is from RefSeq and is a predicted model, not a curated record. Lineage: Eukaryota; Metazoa; Arthropoda; Insecta; Coleoptera; Scarabaeidae.